CAGUAGCCGCGGUAAUACGAACCGUGCGAACGUUAUUCGGAAUCACUGGGCUUAAAGCGCGUGUAGGCGGUUUGUUAAGUCUGUCGUGAAAUCCCCGGGCUCAACCUGGGAAUGGCGAUGGAUACUGGCAAGCUAGAGUGUGUCAGAGGAUGGUGGAAUUUCCGGUGUAGCGGUGAAAUGCGUAGAGAUCGGAAGGAACAUCAGUGGCGAAGGCGGCCAUCUGGGACAACACUGACGCUGAAGCACGAAAGCGUGGGGAGCAAACAGGAUUAGAUACCCCAGUAGUCCCUGUCUCUUAUAC
RNAcentral lists this ribosomal RNA (301 nucleotides) under uncultured bacterium. RNAcentral describes it as "partial 16S ribosomal RNA". It matches the Rfam family "Bacterial small subunit ribosomal RNA", at positions 509 to 807 of the family's 1533-position model. The record is from RNAcentral.